CGCCGCCGUGCGGGAGAGUUCCGGGUAACCCCGGACGCCGAAGGAGCAGCACCUCUCCGUCAAUCUCUCAGGCAAAAGGACCGUACGGGCUUC
This 93-nucleotide non-coding RNA is filed under the name Nocardia brasiliensis. Its description in RNAcentral is "Glycine sequence". It matches the Rfam family "Glycine riboswitch aptamer". Rfam says of the family: This family represents the bacterial glycine riboswitch. Lineage: Bacteria; Bacillati; Actinomycetota; Actinomycetes; Mycobacteriales; Nocardiaceae. The record is from RNAcentral. RNAcentral also lists the same sequence under 1 other name.